RNAcentral lists this transfer RNA (85 nucleotides) under Felis catus (domestic cat). It matches the Rfam family "tRNA". From Rfam's summary of the family: Transfer RNA (tRNA) molecules are approximately 80 nucleotides in length. Their secondary structure includes four short double-helical elements and three loops (D, anti-codon, and T loops). Lineage: Eukaryota; Metazoa; Chordata; Mammalia; Carnivora; Felidae. The record is from Rfam by way of RNAcentral.
GCCUGGGUGGCUCAGUCGGUUGAGCAUCCGGCUUUAGCUCAGGUCAUGAUCUCACAGUCUGUGGGUUCAAGUCCUGCAUCGGGCU